AGCUUUAUAGUCAAUAAUGAUAUUAGACUGCAAUUCUAAAGGAAUAAUUAAAAUUAUUAAAGCUU
RNAcentral lists this transfer RNA (65 nucleotides) under Anopheles bellator. Its description in RNAcentral is "tRNA-Cys". Lineage: Eukaryota; Metazoa; Arthropoda; Insecta; Diptera; Culicidae. The record is from RNAcentral.